CUAGCGACUUCAGAGUUUGAUCCUGGCUCAGAACGAACGCUGGCGGCAGGCUUAACACAUGCAAGUUGAACGGGAUUGUUUGAGUGCUUGCACUUAGACAUGAGAGUGGCGCACGGGUGAGUAAUACGUGGGAACAUACCUAUUGGUUCGGAACAACGCUUGGAAACGAGUGCUAAUACCGGAUAAGCCCUGAGGGGGAAAGAUUUAUCGCCGAUAGAAUGGCCCGCGGCAGAUUAGGUAGUUGGUAGGGUAAAGGCCUACCAAGCCGACGAUCUGUAGCUGGUUUGAGAGGACGAUCAGCCACAUUGGGACUGAGACACGGCCCAG
This 327-nucleotide ribosomal RNA is filed under the name uncultured bacterium. RNAcentral describes it as "bacterial SSU rRNA". It matches the Rfam family "Bacterial small subunit ribosomal RNA", at positions 1 to 334 of the family's 1533-position model. The record is from RNAcentral.